Long non-coding RNA from Oxyura jamaicensis (ruddy duck), 359 nucleotides. RefSeq lists it as uncharacterized. Lineage: Eukaryota; Metazoa; Chordata; Aves; Anseriformes; Anatidae. The transcript is spliced from 5 exons. The record is from RefSeq and is a predicted model, not a curated record.
CAGGCGGCGAGUGCGGAAGGUUCGCUGCUGGUGCUCGGUCCGGCCUCGCCCAGCCUGCUUCCCGAUUUCUAACUCAAACUUUGAUGUCGGUGGAGUGCUGCUUUGGAAGACAGUGGUGAAGGCUUGGGAUUGAGUGCUGCCAACAGCGGCCUGCGUGUACCCAGUGAGGGUGAGUAUCCUGAGCCAAAUCCAGCCCAAAUUCUGAGCAGAGGUGGCCGAGGUUUGGUUCAUGCUGGGUGUAUCAUCCGAGCCUCUGCAGAGUUCAGAGCAGGCUGGAAAUGGGAAAAGGUGCCUCCACGUGGUGACACUGAGCACGUGCUUUGUGCUGGGGGCCUGCACCUCCUGAGCACCCAGAUGCA